AAAACUACAACUAUCCAUCCAUGAGAAGGAAGAUACCUAAUGGAUUAGUUAAUUGGUGCAUGUUUUAGAGACAUACGAGGUGUAUAUGUUGCAACUAGUAAGGUUUCGAUGGAAAUCAAAGAAAGAAAUAGAAAGUUGAAUGAAAAUCAAAGAAAGAAAUAGAAAGUUGAAUGAAAAUUAUUAUGACGUAAACAUAUUAAGCUGCAGGGCUAUAUUGAUUAAGCAAAUAUAAUAGUCAUAUGGU
RNAcentral lists this long non-coding RNA (244 nucleotides) under Carica papaya (papaya). Its description in RNAcentral is "long non-coding RNA (CPAP_LNC005253)". Lineage: Eukaryota; Viridiplantae; Streptophyta; Magnoliopsida; Brassicales; Caricaceae. The record is from RNAcentral.